AAAAAGGCCCUCGCCUCUCGUCUUAAUGUCGUCUCUUGCUUUAAUAACACUGGGUUUAGCAUUAUAUAUCCAGACUGUCCAAACUAACCCAUGUACAUCUCUAAUGAGUACUUUAAGUUUUAGAAGUCAAAGUCUUAAAAAGGUUUAGGAUUACUGAGUCCAUAGAUAUUUCCUUUAAGGCUUUAUGAACAUUAUCAAUUAAAGAACUGAUUCAAAAAUUUCCAGCAGUUCUGCCUCUUUAGGAUUAUGUUAUGUGACGCAAUCUGGAUUGCGUUGGACCUUGAGUGUAAUGCAUAAGGCAUUGUAGGUAUGGUGCUAAAAUCUUCUAAACUUCACACUUUGUAUUCAAUCAUGCGAAAGAAUUCAGUUCAAUUGGUUUGUGAUACAAUUCAGUCGUUUAGAAUAAUUUGUAAAAUGAUAAAUUGGAUUGAAUUUAAAAUAUGACAAAGUUACUUUAAG
Molecule: unclassified non-coding RNA, 459 nt
Filed under: Hevea brasiliensis (rubber tree)
Lineage: Eukaryota; Viridiplantae; Streptophyta; Magnoliopsida; Malpighiales; Euphorbiaceae
Source: RNAcentral